AACGUGCACAAAAACCCAAACCGGAACAACGUUAGACUACUCAGUUGAGCCCUAACAGUAUAACAUUGCAACUAGUACUUUUUCUCAUUCAAUCGAACAAGGAGUAAAACCUAAUUAUAUUGUUCUAUUAUGCACCGAGAGUGUAAAUUUGGAACGAAUCGAUGUCAAUAUUCACAAGAACCAAAACCGGAACAACAUUAGACUACUCUGUUGCGCCAUAAAAGAAUAACUUUGUAACGAGUACUUUUUCUCAUUCUAUCGAACAAGGAGUAAAAGCUGUCUAUUAUGCUCCGAGAGUGUAAAUUUGGAACGAAACGAUGUCAACGUUCACAAGAACCAAAACCGGAACAACGUUAGACUACUUAGUUGAGCUCUAACAUUAUAACUUCGCAACUAGAACUUUUUCUCAUUUAAUCGAACAAGGAGCAAAACCUAAUUAUAUUGUUCUAUUAUGCCCCGAGAGUGUAAAUUUGGAACGAAUCGAUGUCAAUGUUCACAAGAACCAAAACCGAAACUAAAUUAGACUACUCAGUUGCGCCAUAACAGUAUAACUUUUCAACGAGUACUUUUUCUCAAUCAAUCGAAUAAAGAGUAAAACCUAAUUAUAUUGUUAUAUUAUGCCCCGAGAGUGUAAAUUUGGAACGAAUCGAUAUCAACGUUCACAAGAACCAGAACCGGAACAAUAUUGGACUACUCUGUUGCGCCAUAACAGUAUUACUUUGUAACGAGUACUUUUUCUCAUUCUAUUGAACAAGGAGUAAAAGCUUUCUAUUAUGCCCCGAGAGUGUAAAUAUGGAACGAAACGAUGUCAACGUUCAUAAGAACCAAAACCGGAACAACAUUAGACUACUCAGUUGAGCCCUAACAGUAUAACUUUGCAACUAGAAUUUUUUCUCAUUUAAGCGAACAAAGCGCAAAACCUAAUUAUAUUGUUCUAUUAUACCCCGAGAGUGAAAAUUUGGAACGAAUCGAUGUCAAAGUUCACAAGAACCAAAACCGGAACUAAAUUAGACUACUCAGUUGCGCCAUAACAGUAUAACUUUGCAACGUGCACUUUUUCUCAUUCAAUCGAAUAAAGAGUAAAACCUAGUUAUAUUGUUCUAUUAUACCCCGAGAGUGUAAAUUUGGAACGAAUCGAUGUCAAAGUUCACAAGAACCAAAACCGGAACUAAAUUAGACUACUCAGUUGCGCCAUAACAGUAUAACUUUGCAACGUGCACUUUUUCUCAUUCAAUCGAAUAAAGAGUAAAACCUAGUUAUAUUGUUCUAUUAUGCCCCGAGAGUGUAAAUUUGGAACGAAUCGAUGUCAGCGUUCACAAGAACCAAAACCGGAACAACAUUAAACUACUCUGUUGCGCCAUAACAGUAUAAAUUGUAACGAGUACUUUUUCUCAUUCUAUCGAAUAGGGAGUUAAAGCUUUCUAUUAUGCCCCGAGAGUGUAAAUUUGGAACGAAUCGAUGUCAACGUUCACAAGAACCAAAACAGGUACAACGUUAGACUACUUAGUUGAGCCCUAACAGUAUAACAUUACAAUUAGUACUUUUUCUCAUUCAAUUGAACAAAGCGUAAAACGUAAUUAUAUUGUUCUAUUAUGCCCCGACAGUGUAAAUUUGGAACGAAUCGAUGUCAUAGUUCGCAAGAUCAAAAACCAGAACUAAAUUAGACUACUCAGUUGCGCCAUAACAAUAUAAUGUUUGCAACGAGUACUUUUUCUCUUUCAAUCGAAUAAAGAGCAAAACCUAGUUAUAUUGUUCUAUUAUGCCCCGAGAGUGUAAAUUUGGAACGAAUCGAUGUCAACAUUCACAAGUGCCAAAACCGGAACAACAUUAGACUACUCUGUUGCGCCAUAGCAGAAUAACUUUGUAACGAGUACUUUUUCUCAUUCUACCGAGCAAGGAGUAAAAGUUUUCUAUUAUGCCCCGAGAGUGUAAAUUUGGAACGAAUCGAUGUCAACGUUCACAGGAACCAAAACCGGAACAACGUUAGACUACUCAGUUGAGCCCUAACAGUAUAACUUUGCAACUAGAACUUUUUCUCAUUUAAUAGAACAAAGCGCAAAACCUAAUUAUAUUGUUAUAUUAUGCCCCGAGAGUGUAAACUUGGAACGAAUCGAUGUUAACGUUCACAAGAACCAGAACCGGAACAACAUUAGACUACUUUGUUGAGCCAUAACAAUAUUACUUUGUAACGAGUACUUUUUCUCAUUCUAUCGAACAAGGAGUAAAAGCUUUCUAUUAUGCCCCGAGAGUGUAAAUUUGGAACGAAACGAUGUCAACGUUCACAAGAACCAAAACCGGAACAACGUUAGACUACUCAGUUGAGCCCUAACAGUAUAACUUUGCAACUAGAACUUUUUCUCAUUUAAUAGAACAAAGCGCAAAACCUAAUUAUAUUGUUAUAUUAUGCCCCGAGAGUGUAAACUUGGAACGAAUCGAAGUUAACGUUCACAAGAACCAGAACCGGAACAACAUUAGACUACUACGUUGUGCCAUAACAGUAUUACUUUGUAACGAGUACUUUUUCUCAUUCUAUCGAACAAGGAGUAAAAGCUUUCUAUUAUGCUCCGAGAGUGAAAAUUUGGAAAGAAACGAUGUCAACGUUCACAAGAACCAAAACCGGAACAACGUUAGACUACUCAGUUGAGCCCUAACAGUAUAACUUUGCAACUAAAACUUUUUCUCAUUUAAUCAACAAAGUGCAAAACCUAAUUAUAUUGUUCUAUUAUGCCCCGAGAGUGUAAAUUUGGAACGAAUCGAUGUCAAACUUCACAAGAACCAAAACCGGAACUAAAUUAGACUACUCAGUUGCGCCAUAACAGUAUAACUUUGCAACGUGCACUUUUUCUCAUUCAAUCGAAUAAAGAGUAAAACCUAGUUAUAUUGUUCUAUUAUACCCCGAGAGUGUAAGUUUGGAACGAAUCAAUGUCAACGUUCACAAGAACCAAAACCGGCACAACAUUAGACUACUCUGUUGCGCCUUAACAGUUUAACUUUGCAACGAGUACUUUUUCUCAUUCUACCGAACAAGGUGUAAAAGCAGUCUAUUAUACCCCGAGAGUGUAAAUUUGGAACGAAGCGUUGUCAACGUUCACAAGAACCAAAACCGGAACAAUGUUAGACUACUCAGUUGAGCCAAAACAGUAUAACUUUGCAACUAGAACUUUUUCUCAUUUAAUAGAACAAAGCGCAAAACCUAAAUAUAUUGUUCUAUUAUGCCCCGAGAGUGUAAAUUUGGAACGAAUCGAUAUCAACGUUCACAAGAAUCAUAACCGGAACAACAUUAGACUACUCUAUUGCGCCAUAACAGUAUAACUUUGCAACGAGUACUUUUUCUAAUUCUAUCGAAUAAGGAGUAAAAGCUUUCUAUUAUGCCCCGAGAGUGUAAAUUUGGAACGAAUCAAUGUCAACGUUCACAAUAACCAAAACAGGAACAACGUUAGACUACUCAGUUGAGCCCUAACAGUAUAACAUUGCAACUAGUACUUUUUCUUAUUCAAUCGAACAAAGAGUAAAACCAAAUUAUAUUAUUCUAUUAUACCCCGAGAGUGUAAAUUUGGAACGAAUCGAUGUCAACGUUCACAAGAACCAAAACCGGAACAACAUUAGACUACUCUGUUGCGCUAUAACAGAAUUACUUUGCAACGAGUACUUUUUCUCAUUCUAUCGAACAAGGAGUAAAAGCUGUCUAUUAUGCCCCGAGAGUGUAAAUUUGGAACGAAACGAUGUCAACGUUCACAAGAACCAAAACCGGAACAACGUUAGACUACUUAGUUGAGCUCUAACAGAAUAACUUUGCAACUAGAACUUUUUCUCAUUUAAUCGAAC
Molecule: long non-coding RNA, 3825 nt
Filed under: Ananas comosus (pineapple)
Lineage: Eukaryota; Viridiplantae; Streptophyta; Magnoliopsida; Poales; Bromeliaceae
Description: long non-coding RNA (ACOM_LNC039727)
Source: RNAcentral